CUAUUGCCAAAGCACUCGGGAGCUCAGCUUUAUGUUCUUGUACACAUACAUGCUCAUACACACUCAUGUGCACAGGGAACUCUCGUCCUUGCUUCGCAUUUCAUUUUAAAACAUACGUUAUUAUCAUGAUACAAUUUGUAUGUUAAAUAACACUAUAUGAAAUGAUUUGAUAUAAUUUUAAGCAGAAUACAGAAGGAGAAAACUUAAUGUUGCAAAACUCUUCUCCCAGUUGGUUUUGGGGUUUUUGUUAUUGUUGGUUUUUUUUGUUUUUUGUUUUUUGAUUUUUUGCAUUUAUUUUUGUUAUUUUUUGAGAAUUCCAUUCAUGACUACUGUAUUUUUGUCAUUUCUCCCAUGCCCCUCUCCUCCCUCUCAAACACAACCUGCUGAGUCCAAUUAGUGUUGCUCAAAUGCAUAUACAUUCACCCUGGAGAAGGCUGAUCCUCCAUCUCCUAACAGCCGUUAGUCACCCAUAGUUCUUCUGGUGGACGUGUGGGUCCUUGUAAGAGUCCCCUUGCCAUGAGAGUGUCAACUGGUUGUUGUCGCUAUGCAGGUCUUACUGAGGCAACCAUAUUGUUGAGAUCUCAAGUGUGCAGCUUCCCUGUCAUAUAUAGAGGACACUGUCUCAUAGCAGAUGUCAUGGUUCUCUGUCUCUAACAGUCUUUCUGCCCUCCAUUUUCCAGUGUUCUCUUUAUCAUUUGAUAUAGUGGUUGGAUUGUAGAUGAAUCAACUAGAGAUGUGUGCCUAAUCGACAGUUGUUCUCUCCAUUUUGACAAGUUGUGGGUUUAUGUGAUGGUCUCCAUCUGCAGCAAACAGGAAGCUUCUUUUACAAGGUGUGAGAGCUUCCCGUAUCUCUAGAUACAAUGAUAGAUGUUUACAAUGCAACUGGAAUUUACCCUGGUUUAAUAAUGUGGCAAUAGUGAAUUCUCCUUUAGAGUUCAUGACCUUACCAACAGCAGGUAGCUGACUAGGAUUAUAGUACCAGCUAUGAAUUUCCUCCUAUUUAAGUGGGCCUUAAAUUACUCUCUUGGCAAUACUUUGAGAUACAAUAAAAGUCAGUCCUCACGCACAAGGCUUCCAGGUUAGCUCCAUCUGGAUUUCCCUAAGUCCUGGGUCCAAAGUGCAUGCUGUCUUCAGCAGUAGGGUCUUAGAUUUAAAUCUCAGAACAUUUUUUAAAGUUAACUCUUUUAAACGUGUUAGUCUCUCAAAUAUAUUAAGUGCCUAGUCAUGGUUAAUUCCUGUUGGCCAAUGGAAUUAAAAACAAAGUACAACAUUCAGAGUCACCAUGUUAAAGGAAUAACACAUGUAUUAUUUUGGAAUGUAAAAAUCGUUAUUUCUGCUUUACUACACAGAAAGUUGAAAUUAUAUAUCCAUCAGAAAAUAUAAUUGAAACUAG
Molecule: long non-coding RNA, 1393 nt
Filed under: Mus musculus (house mouse)
Lineage: Eukaryota; Metazoa; Chordata; Mammalia; Rodentia; Muridae
Description: long non-coding RNA chr6:58693468-58694861
Source: RNAcentral